Molecule: signal recognition particle RNA, 99 nt
Filed under: Treponema sp.
Lineage: Bacteria; Pseudomonadati; Spirochaetota; Spirochaetia; Treponematales; Treponemataceae
Description: signal recognition particle sRNA small type
Rfam family: Bacterial small signal recognition particle RNA
About the family: The signal recognition particle (SRP) is a universally conserved ribonucleoprotein involved in the co-translational targeting of proteins to membranes.
Source: RNAcentral
CGCCAGGAAUCAUGCGAUCGGCCGCCGCCCAACCCCGCCAGGUUCGGAAGGAAGCAACGGUAAGCGGAAGGCCGCUGCGCCGUGAUCGCCCUGGCGGGG